UACGUAGGGAGCAAGCGUUGUCCGGAAUCAUUGGGCGUAAAGCGCGCGUAGGUGGCCACAUAAGUCCGUUGUGAAAGCCAAAGGCUCAACCUUUGAAAGCCGAUGGAUACUGUGUGGCUAGAGUACGGAAGAGGCGAGUGGAAUUCCUGGUGUAGCGGUGGAAUGCGCAGAUAUCAGGAGGAACACCAAUAGCGAAGGCAGCUCGCUGGGACGUUACUGACGCUGAGGCGCGAAAGCGUGGGGAGCGAACAGG
Molecule: ribosomal RNA, 253 nt
Filed under: uncultured bacterium
Lineage: Bacteria
Description: partial 16S ribosomal RNA
Rfam family: Bacterial small subunit ribosomal RNA
Source: RNAcentral